CUCUAUUUGCUGCUGCUCUGGAGUUCAAAAUGUCUUUUUUUCUUUUCUUUUCCAGCGAACAAACCAAAAACUCUCCCUUUUCUGUCUGAAAAGCCUUAUUGCUGUGCGGAACCUGCUGUCUGUCCUCUAUUACUGACCUCUCGUCCCCCCAUCAGGCUGGAUGAGACCAGACAAGGUGUUACUUCAUUCUGCAGGCAAACACACACACUGUCUGUGGUUUGAAAAUUUCAAGAGGCCAAUUUAAGGAAGCACGCCCACCGCAUUCCCUGGAGACGUGCUCCGAAAGGUCUGGACUUUUUUCACUCCCACAGUUCAGUGCGUUUUCACCCAGAUGCAAGCUCUUCCUAACACCUAUAUUUAAAACCACAAACCUGUGCCACAGGCCACAUGUACAGUAUAAUGGAACCCUUGGCUUGCCCAUCUCAGAUGAGAGCUACCACACCACAAACCCAAACACAGAUGUUUAACACAUGGUAGUUUCUUUUCUGCAGAACAAGAAGCUGCAAAUCCAGUUAAAUGAAUCAUUUCUAAUCUACAAUACAUACAUAUUACAGUCCCACCAGUAACCAGUUGGACAUAUAGGAUCAGUUUGAUCUUUUUUUUUUUUCUUCUUCAUUUUAUAUACUCCAUAAGACAUAUUAUCUUGUGAUAUUUACAUCGGAGAUGACUUUACAGAGAGUCAAACAUAGCAUAUUGUGUAAUUGACAUCUUAUAAAACAACAGUGAGUUUUGACAUUGAUGUUGAUUUAUUACUGAACAUCACAUCGUAUAAAAAGUGCAUUCCAGCUCGUCCGCGUUCCUGACCUUUGAUUGGGAACAAAAAGCCUGUUGCCAACGUCUCUGUGGAGUUCUACCACUACAGGUUUAUUAUUGAAGUAUUGGCAUUUUCAUUUGGGCAGCACAAGUGUGCAUAUCAGGAACUGAUUGCCAUUUGAUUUGAUUCAUAUAUCAAAAAGUACUGUGUGUGCAUAUCUGUAAAUGUGUAUAAAGGAGAACGUUUGUGAGUGUGAGAAGAAUUGUAAGGAUGUUUAGGGAAUCAAUAAAAUCAAUAAUAAUGCUGUUUUUAUAUCA
Molecule: long non-coding RNA, 1071 nt
Filed under: Gouania willdenowi (blunt-snouted clingfish)
Lineage: Eukaryota; Metazoa; Chordata; Actinopteri; Blenniiformes; Gobiesocidae
Description: lncRNA (ENSGWIG00000019937.1)
Source: RNAcentral